RNAcentral lists this ribosomal RNA (815 nucleotides) under uncultured bacterium. RNAcentral's name for it is "bacterial SSU rRNA". It matches the Rfam family "Bacterial small subunit ribosomal RNA", at positions 8 to 796 of the family's 1533-position model. The record is from RNAcentral.
AGAGUUUGAUCAUGGCUCAGAACGAACGCUGGCGGCGUGGAUAAGACAUGCAAGUCGAGCGCGACUUAAUUUGUAGCAAUACAGGUUAAGUUGAGCGGCGAAAGGGUGCGUAACACGUGGGCAAUUUGCCAUGAAGUUGGGGAUAACUCGCUGAAAGGCGAGCUAAUACCGAAUGUGAUUAUUUGGAGGCAUCUCUGGAUAAUUAAAGUUGGGGAUCGAAAGACCUGACGCUUUAUGAUGAGCCCGCGGCCUAUCAGCUAGUUGGUGAGGUAACGGCUCACCAAGGCUAAGACGGGUAGCUGGUCUGAGAGGACGACCAGCCACACUGGGACUGAGACACGGUCCAGACACCUACGGGUGGCAGCAGUCGAGAAUUUUUCUCAAUGGGGGAAACCCUGAAGGAGCGACGCCGCGUGGGGGAUGAAUGGCUUCGGCCCGUAAACCCCUGUCAUUUGUGAACAAACCUUACGUUUUAAUAGAACGUGAGCUGAUUGUAACGGAAGAGGAAGGGACGGCUAACUCUGUGCCAGCAGCCGCGGUAAUACAGAGGUCCCAAGCGUUGUUCGGAUUCACUGGGCGUAAAGGGUGCGUAGGUGGUUAGGUAAGUCUGAUGUGAAAUCUCUGGGCUCAACCCAGAAACUGCAUUGGAUACUAUCUAGCUAGAGGAGUGGAGGGGGGACUGGAAUACUUGGUGUAGCAGUGAAAUGCGUAGAUAUCAAGUGGAACACCAGUGGCGAAGGCGAGUCCCUGGACACUUCCUGACACUGAGGCACGAAAGCUAGGGGAGCAAACAGGAUUAGAUACCCUAGUAGUCC